AGUGAACGCUGGCGGUAGGCCUAACACAUGCAAGUCGAACGGCAGCACAGAGGAGCUUGCUCCUUGGGUGGCGAGUGGCGGACGGGAGGAAUACAUCGGAAUCUACUCUGUCGUGGGGGAUAACGUAGGGAAACUUACGCUAAUACCGCAUACGACCUACGGGUGAAAGCAGGGGACCUUCGGGCCCUGCGCGAUUGAAUGGGCCGAUGUUGGAUUAGGUAGUUGGCGGGGUAAAGGCCGACCAAGGCGACGAUCCGUAGCUGGUCUGAGAGGAUGAUCAGCCACACUGGAACUGAGACACGGUCCAGACUCCUACGGGAGGCAGCAGUGGGGAAUAUUGGACAAUGGGCGCAAGCCUGAUCCAGCCAUACCGCGUGGGUGAAGAAGGCCUUCGGGUUGUAAAGCCCUUUUGUUGGGAAAGAAAUCCAGCUGGCUAAUACCCGGUUGGGAUGACGGUACCCAAAGAAUAAGCACCGGCUAACUUCGUGCCAGCCGCCGCGGUAA
This 504-nucleotide ribosomal RNA is filed under the name uncultured bacterium. Its description in RNAcentral is "partial 16S ribosomal RNA". It matches the Rfam family "Bacterial small subunit ribosomal RNA", at positions 29 to 523 of the family's 1533-position model. The record is from RNAcentral.